UACGUAGGGUGCGAGCGUUGUCCGGAAUUAUUGGGCGUAAAGAGCUCGUAGGCGGUGUGUCGCGUCGGCCGUGAAAACCUGGGGCUCAACUCUGGGCGUGCGGUCGAUACGGGCAUCACUUGAGUUCGGCAGGGGAGACUGGAAUUCCUGGUGUAGCGGUGAAAUGCGCAGAUAUCAGGAGGAACACCGGUGGCGAAGGCGGGUCUCUGGGCCGAUACUGACGCUGAGGAGCGAAAGCGUGGGUAGCAAACAGG
Molecule: ribosomal RNA, 254 nt
Filed under: uncultured bacterium
Lineage: Bacteria
Description: partial 16S ribosomal RNA
Rfam family: Bacterial small subunit ribosomal RNA
Source: RNAcentral